Molecule: ribosomal RNA, 450 nt
Filed under: uncultured bacterium
Lineage: Bacteria
Description: partial 16S ribosomal RNA
Rfam family: Bacterial small subunit ribosomal RNA
Source: RNAcentral
GUGGGGAAUUUUGGACAAUGGGGGCAACCCUGAUCCAGCCAUGCCGCGUGCGGGAAGAAGGCCUUCGGGUUGUAAACCGCUUUUGUCAGGGAAGAAAUCCUUUGGGUUAAUACCUCGGAGGGAUGACGGUACCUGAAGAAUAAGCACCGGCUAACUACGUGCCAGCAGCCGCGGUAAUACGUAGGGUGCGAGCGUUAAUCGGAAUUACUGGGCGUAAAGCGUGCGCAGGCGGUUUUGUAAGAUCGAUGUGAAAUCCCCGGGCUCAACCUGGGAACUGCAUUGGUGACUGCCAGGCUGGAGUGCGGCAGAGGGGGAUGGAAUUCCGCGUGUAGCAGUGAAAUGCGUAGAUAUGCGGAGGAACACCGAUGGCGAAGGCAAUCCCCUGGGCCUGCACUGACGCUCAUGCACGAAAGCGUGGGGAGCAAACAGGAUUAGAUACCCGGGUAGUCC